AGCUUACCGAAUCCGUGCAGAGAUUUCAUUUGAUAUCAAUACACCAAAGCUGAUGAGACCUCUAAAAGAAGUGAAGUG
Molecule: non-coding RNA, 78 nt
Organism: Schistosoma haematobium
Lineage: Eukaryota; Metazoa; Platyhelminthes; Trematoda; Strigeidida; Schistosomatidae
Source: Rfam